AAACGCUGAGCCGCAGGCUUAGACAUGCAAGCGAGCGGGGGAGGUUGCUUCGGUAACUGUCCCUAGCGGCGGACGGGUGAGUAAUGCUUAGGAAUCUGCCUAUUAGUGGGGGACAACAUUCCGAAAGGGAUGCUAAUACCGCAUACGUCCUACGGGAGAAAGCAGGGGAUCAUUUGACCUUGCGCUAAUAGAUGAGCCUAAGUCGGAUUAGCUAGUUGGUGGGGUAAAGGCCUACCAAGGCGACGAUCUGUAGCGGGUCUGAGAGGAUGAUCCGCCACACUGGGACUGAGACACGGCCCAGACUCCUACGGGAGGCAGCAGUGGGGAAUAUUGGACAAUGGGGGGAACCCUGAUCCAGCCAUGCCGCGUGUGUGAAGAAGGCCUUUUGGUUGUAAAGCACUUUAAGUGGGGAGGAGGCUUACCUGGUUAAUAAGUGGGCUAAGUGGACCUUACCCACAACAUAAGCACCGGCUAACUCUGUGCCAGCAGCCGCGGUAAUACAGAGGGUGCGAGCGUUAAUCGGAUUUACUGGGCGUAAAGCGCGCGUAGGUGGUUAAUUAAGUCAAAUGUGAAAUCCCCGAGCUUAACUUGGGAAUUGCAUUCCAUACUGGUUAGCUAGAGUAUGGGAGAGGAUGGUAGAAUUCCGGUG
Molecule: ribosomal RNA, 649 nt
Filed under: Acinetobacter sp. HPC1327
Lineage: Bacteria; Pseudomonadati; Pseudomonadota; Gammaproteobacteria; Moraxellales; Moraxellaceae
Description: bacterial SSU rRNA
Rfam family: Bacterial small subunit ribosomal RNA
Source: RNAcentral